This 529-nucleotide ribosomal RNA is filed under the name uncultured bacterium. Its description in RNAcentral is "partial 16S ribosomal RNA". It matches the Rfam family "Bacterial small subunit ribosomal RNA", at positions 355 to 895 of the family's 1533-position model. The record is from RNAcentral.
UGGGGAAUAUUGCACAAUGGGCGAAAGCCUGAUGCAGCAACGCCGCGUGAGGGACGACGGCCUUCGGGUUGUAAACCUCUUUUAGCAAGGAAGAAGCGAAAGUGACGGUACUUGCAGAAAAAGCGCCGGCUAACUACGUGCCAGCAGCCGCGGUAAUACGUAGGGCGCAAGCGUUAUCCGGAAUUAUUGGGCGUAAAGAGCUCGUAGGCGGUUUGUCGCGUCUGCUGUGAAAACCCGAGGCUCAACCUCGGGCCUGCAGUGGGUACGGGCAGACUAGAGUGCGGUAGGGGAGAUUGGAACUCCUGGUGUAGCGGUGGANUGCGCAGAUAUCAGGAAGAACACCGAUGGCGAAGGCAGAUCUCUGGGCCGUAACUGACGCUGAGGAGCGAAAGGGUGGGGAGCAAACAGGCUUAGAUACCCUGGUAGUCCACCCCGUAAACGUUGGAACUAGUUGUGGGGUCCAUUCCACGGAUUCCGUGACGCAGCUAACGCAUUAAGUUCCCCGCCUGGGGAGUACGGCCGCAAGGCU